RNAcentral lists this ribosomal RNA (434 nucleotides) under uncultured bacterium. RNAcentral's name for it is "partial 16S ribosomal RNA". It matches the Rfam family "Bacterial small subunit ribosomal RNA", at positions 29 to 507 of the family's 1533-position model. The record is from RNAcentral.
AGCGAACGCUGGCGGCAGGCCUAACACAUGCAAGUCGAACGAACCUUUCGGGGUUAGUGGCGGACGGGUGAGUAACACGUGGGAACGUGCCCUUAGGUUCGGAAUCACUCAGGGAAACUUGUGCUAAUACCGAAUGUGCCAUUCGGGGGAAAGAUUAAUCGCCUUUAGAGCGGCCCGCGUCUGUUUAGCUAGUUGGUUGAGGUAAUGGCUCGCCUAGGCGACGAUCAGUAGCUGGUCGGAGAGGAUGAUCAGCCACAUUGGGACUGAGACACGGCCCAAACUCCGACGGGAGGCAGCAGUGGGGAGUCUUACGCAAUGAGCGAAAGCCUGACGCAGCCAUGCGGCGUGAAUGAUGAAGGUCUUAGUAUUGUAAAAUUCUUUCACCGGGGACGAUAAUGACGGUACCCGGAGAAGAAGCCCCGGCUAACUUCGUG